AAGGUAGCGAAAUUCCUUGUCGGGUAAGUUCCGACCCGCACGAAUGGCGUAACGAUGGCCACACUGUCUCCUCCCGAGACUCAGCGAAGUUGAAAUGGUUGUGAAGAUGCAAUCUCCCCGCUGCUAGACGGAAAGACCCCGUGAACCUUUACUGUAGCUUUGCAUUGGACUUUGAAGUCACUUGUGUAGGAUAGGUGGGAGGCUUUGAAGCAGAGACGCCAGUCUCUGUGGAGCCGUCCUUGAAAUACCACCCUGGUGACUUUGAGGUUCUAACCCAGACCCGUUAUCCGGGUCGGGGACCGUGCAUGGUAGGCAGUUUGACUGGGGCGGUCUCCUCCCAAAGAGUAACGGAGGAGUUCGAAGGUUACCUAGGUCCGGUCGGAAAUCGGACUGAUAGUGCAAUGGCAAAAGGUAGCUUAACUGCGAGACCGACAAGUCGAGCAGGUGCGAAAGCAGGACAUAGUGAUCCGGUGGUUCUGAAUGGAAGGGCCAUCGCUCAACGGAUAAAAGGUACUCCGGGGAUAACAGGCUGAUUCCGCCCAAGAGUCCAUAUCGACGGCGGAGUUUGGCACCUCGAUGUCGGCUCAUCACAUCCUGGGGCUGUAGUCGGUCCCAAGGGUAUGGCUGUUCGCCAUUUAAAGUGGUACGUGAGCUGGGUUUAAAACGUCGUGAGACAGUUUGGUCCCUAUCUGCAGUGGGCGUUGGAAGUUUGAAGGGGGCUGCUCCUAGUACGAGAGGACCGGAGUGGACGAACCUCUGGUGUACCGGUUGUUUCGCCAGAAGCAUAGCCGGGUAGCUAAGUUCGGAAGAGAUAAGCGCUGAAAGCAUCUAAGCGCGAAACUCGCCCAAAGAUGAGACUUCCCUUGUGGUUUAACCAUACUAAAGAGUCGUUCGAGACCAGGACGUUGAUAGGUGGGGUGUGGAAGCGCGGUAACGCGUGAAGCUAACCCAUACUAAUUGCUCGUGAGGCUUGACUCU
RNAcentral lists this ribosomal RNA (978 nucleotides) under Kingella kingae. Its description in RNAcentral is "partial 23S ribosomal RNA". It matches the Rfam family "Bacterial large subunit ribosomal RNA", at positions 1953 to 2925 of the family's 2925-position model. Lineage: Bacteria; Pseudomonadati; Pseudomonadota; Betaproteobacteria; Neisseriales; Neisseriaceae. The record is from RNAcentral.